RNAcentral lists this ribosomal RNA (250 nucleotides) under uncultured bacterium. Its description in RNAcentral is "partial 16S ribosomal RNA". It matches the Rfam family "Archaeal small subunit ribosomal RNA", at positions 474 to 724 of the family's 1478-position model. The record is from RNAcentral.
UACCCGCGGCCCGAGUGGUGCUCAUUAUUAUUGAGUCUAAAACGUCCGUAGCCGGUCGGGUAGAUUCCUGGGUAAAUCGAAUCGCUCAACGAUUCGAACUCCGGGGAGACCGCCUGACUAGGGACCGGGAGAGGCGCGAGGUACUCCUGGGGUAGGGGUAAAAUCCUGUAAUCCUGGGAGGACCACCAGUGGCGAAGGCGUCGCGCUAGAACGGAUCCGACGGUCAGGGACGAAGCCCAGGGGCGCAAAC